Molecule: non-coding RNA, 3248 nt
Organism: Phoenix dactylifera (date palm)
Lineage: Eukaryota; Viridiplantae; Streptophyta; Magnoliopsida; Arecales; Arecaceae
Source: RefSeq, a predicted model, not a curated record
CUUAGAAUUGUUAGGGUUUCGAAAUCUUUUAUAAAAUCCGACGAAGGAGAUGAGUGAGCUGUUCUUUCUGAAUCUUUUUGCCCUUCGGUCUUUUUGAUGUGAUCAAGUUUCCGAGUGCUACUGUAGGUUUUUGUCUGUCACGAUUUUGGCUAGAGUAGAAGAAAACCUUGGUUCAUUUCUCUGUGUAGAAUUUCUGAGCGUGAGAGCCACCGGGGUUUCUCACGAUUGGGGGGUCAAAGAUUUUCUUUUUUCUUUUUAGCAAAAGAUGUCAAGAUUUGUUAGGAGCAUACAUUGAAAAGGAUAUUUUGGACGAAGUUGUAUUAAGGUUUAUUAGGUCUACUUUUAAUGCGUUCUUGUGAGGAAAAGCGUGAGUACGCUUGAUGAAAGGGCAUCGAAACAGUAAAUAAGUGUCGUUACCUUUUAAUCAGUUGAGACUUCUUUGCAAUCAUAGGAUUUCCAUUGUUUUUUUGGGCCUUCAAGAGAAGUGUGCAGAAUAAAGUAGCAGACAUAACCCUAGAUUCAAAAUUGCAGCUGCACUGCUAAACAAUUGAACACCCAGCAAUUAUAUUUGAGAGCUUGUACCCUUAAUUAUGAUUGUACGGAUGACUUCAUAUUGGAUCUUCUUUUAAUAAUUAGAUAUCUGAAGAUAACUAGAAGUGAGAGUUGAUCUUAACAUGCGACUUAUAUAGCAUGUAUCAUGCCUCUGACUGGUAAAAACUCACAAAAUUUUAGUGCUUCAAACCUUUUAAUUACUUAUCCAAAUGUUCUACAGUUCCAAGGUACUGAGGUAUUCAUGAUUUCCAAAGUGAAGGUCAUCAUUCACCACAUGAUGAAAUUUCAACUUGCGAAGAACUUUGUAUGUGCUUUGAUAUCAAUACUUGAAUCACUUGAACUUCCUCUAUCAGACCUAUAAACAACCUGAGACAUUUUGUUAUUGCUCAAGGAGACUAUAGUUUCAAUAAAAUUCUAUUUUUGAUAUAGAAACAUUUUAUGGCGAAUUAAUUGCUUACGUAAUUUGAGAACUCAUAGACCAGUUGUAAAUCUUGAAGGCCUUUCUUAAGUUGCACCUCUAAGAAAAAAUUCAAAAAGUUGAUAGAAUAAAAAUCUUGUACAGCUGCAAUUGUCUCUUGUCUCUAAGUGCUUGAAACUUUUGCAUGGAAGGCACCAACAUCUAACCCCUCAUGUAUGAUGCAGUCUCAAGUUGUAAAAUCCGCCGAUGCCAUGGUCUAGAGUACAUGCAACCAUUAAAAUAAUAAAUCCAUGAAUGCUUAAAGCUUUCAUCCAUCUAUUUUCUCAUAUCAUUAAUCUUGUUUCCCUCUCUCUAUAAGAAAUGCAUACAAAAGCAUGCAUGCAUUAUGCGUCUACUUUUCUAUAGAUAAAUAUGUAGAUAGCACCAGUGCCUUUUUAUUUGAUAUCCUGAUGACUCAACAUGCGGUAUGAACUGGAUUGCAUGUGAUGUUUCCUGAUUAUAUCAUGAAAUUCAAAUGUGAAGCUUCUUUACUUGCUUAAUGUUUAUGUAUUGCAAUCUAUUUGCAGAUUAUUAUAGUUAACACAAGUAGACAGCAUUAACUGUGUACAUUUGAACUGCACAAGUUUGUCAUCAGCAUUAUACCUUUUACUUUAUUAAAUAUAAAAUCCUAUUUCUGGUGUCAUGUGAACCUUAUAUGGAAUUGAGUGUUUGAUUAGGAAUCUUUUCUUUCUUAAAUGUGCUGGCUUCUAGUAUAAUUGGAUCUCUGUACACAUCAUUUACUUUUUUUUUUUUUAUAUAUAAUUCUUGUUUCUGUUGUUUCACUUCCAUUGUUGAUCUUUUCUGGUUCUCUGACAUGAUACACAAAGGAAGCCUUUAGAUGCAGCUACCUGCAGUUUCAGUCCAAUCAGUUGUCUGUCAUGGAUCCCUUCCAAAUCAUGCAAUAUGUAAGUUCAUCUUGCAGAGCUGGCAUCUUCUAAACCAAAUGGACAAUUUUCUCCAUCAACAUGUAGAGUUCCUUUAAGCAAUGCAGUUUCUGGAAAAUACCAUAUCCGACUCCAGACAAAUCAGGAAGCAAUCUUAGGUCUGACAAUUCAUCUUUAGGAUCAACUGAAUCAAGUUCUCAUGUAGAAGAGGGCUCAAACUGUCUGUCCUUUCCUAGACAAGAGCUUUCACAGUAUCUGUUUGACCAUCAGGUUUACCUUCACAAAUUAAGGGUUGUGCAUUUGCAUGUAUUGGCAUCAGAGCAAUGGAAAUUUUGUCUUAAAACAUGCUGCAGGUGUUAUGAUUGCUAGAGGAGAUCUUGCAGUGGAGUGUGGAUGGCAUCAGAUGGCCAGUAUUCAGGAACAGAUCUUGUCCAUCUGCAGUGCUGCACAUGUGCCUGUUAUUUGAGCAACCCAGGUUAUAGAAUCGCUUACAAAAUCUGGUGUUCCUACUAGAGCGGAGAUCACAGAUGUAGCCAGUGGCCUGAGGGCUAGUUGCAUGAUGCUUAACAAGGGGAAUCAUAUCGUAGAGGCCGUUGCAACUUUGAACUCUAUUUUGUGCAACUGUACUGCAAAGAAUGUGAAGACCUUACUGAAACCACUUUCCCCAUCAAGCUGCUAAAUCAGUCACUUUGCCAUUGCCCUUCUACACCAGAUCCCUUGCAAUCUGAAUCUCCUUGGUUCUAUCAAAUGCGUCUAUGAUGGCGGUAGCUAUUUUAUACUUAUGCACUAGUUUUCAGGUUCUGUGCAGAACUGUCUGUCGGGCUUGCAUCUAGGUAUGGUGUUCUAUGCUUCAUUAUGUAAAUCAAUGUGAUUUGAUUGUUGUAUAUAUAAAUCAUAGAAUUGUUACAGGGUUAUGUAUAUAAUCAUUUCAUGUCGGAUGGUUUUGUAGCUGUGACAGAGUCGAGAGGUUACCAAAUUACGGCAAAAACCAGACUCUGCUUGGUGAGUGUGACCGAACUGUUGUGAUGAUAGAUAAAAUCUGAGCUAAUGAUUGUGAAUUGGUGAUUGUAGGUAACACUCAUGUAUGUGGUGGAUUGACGUUUUUUGUUGAGAUAAUCGCCAUAAAUACUCCUUUUGAGUAUGAGGUUGGAAUCCUUUCCUUACCUAGCCUUAAUAAACAAUUUAAAGAAAGAAGUGAAUGUCAAAAUGAUCCUAGGAAAAGCUUAUACGAGCUUCCAGUUUGUAUUUAAUUUCAUGGAUACUGGUGCCUCAGCCCGUGGGAACUGGAAUAAUCAGUUUCUUCAGUAGCCUGAGUUUACCAACAAUCGAGUUCAAUUUCAAAAUUCUUUUCUUUU